RNAcentral lists this non-coding RNA (206 nucleotides) under human gut metagenome. Its description in RNAcentral is "raiA RNA". It matches the Rfam family "raiA RNA". RNAcentral also lists the same sequence under 2 other names. The record is from RNAcentral.
UUCGGGCUGUGGUUGCAAGUCGAUGCCAGUCGCAGGCGAAACGAUCCACGUAAGCGGGCCAAAGCGCCCGUGAGCAUGGUGCGGCUUAGAUGUAAGUCCGUCCGCAUCCCCUUUGGGGCUGCGAGAGAAGUAGUAGUGGGCGGCACAUUGCCUAGUAGCGAACCUUCCAGACGGCGGGUGUGGGGUCAAAGACCAGGUCAGCCGAA